This is a non-coding RNA of Taeniopygia guttata (zebra finch), 3619 nucleotides long. The record is from RefSeq and is a predicted model, not a curated record. Lineage: Eukaryota; Metazoa; Chordata; Aves; Passeriformes; Estrildidae.
CUUACCUUUUGGCUCCCAGAUAGAGUGACGUCUUCGAGGGAUGCGUAGGCAUGCUCAGUGUAUUCCAUUAUUUCCUUUCACAUCCUAUAUGAGCACUGCCUCUCCCUAAUACUCAGUCUUUCCUUAUCCGUGAGGCCAGAAAUGUAAAUCCCUAUGCAACAGAGUGCAAAGAGUGAGUUUGAAGGAUGGUUUCUAUUUAUUUAAAUGUACAGGCUAUAAACACCGCCCUCCUACACUAUGUUUUGGGUUCUUGCAUGUAUUUCCAUACAGUAAAUAUCUUGACAGUUCCCUCUGCUCGACCUCAGUGAUAUACGCACAUCCCUGGAAGAACAAAUACAUCAACAGUCUGCUAAUCUUCACAAGUAAUAACAUAGAUUUUUCUUCUCUCUCUUCACUUUAUUUAACUACAGUUGGGGAGAAAAGACGUAGUUGGCCACCUGCUCCAAACCAGUUGUUGUAGCCCAGGAAUAUGCCCAGUUUCUGAGCUGAGGACCCUUCCGAGAUGUGCACUUUGCCAAUGAGAGUUUGAGCCCAGUUUUUGUACAGCUGUUGGCAAACCUCUCCUUGCAGUGGAAGAAGCCGAUUGUUCAUGUUUGGAAGAUGCUUCAGAUGUCUUCUGUCACACAACAAACACAUGCAAGAAGAACUUGCUCAAGUUGGAUAGGCUGCAACACAAGACCAAGGUCUCAUUCCCAGGAAAGGGAAGACUUGGUUUACAGGAGGGUGCAAGGUCUCCAUAGACAGAAGAACACCAGGGUUAAAGAGGCAUUUUGAAGAGGAGAAAAAGCAACAGAUCAGUACCAGGUCUUGUCUCUGUGGCUGCAAACCAGACAACCUGAAGGCAAUAGUGGUGGCCAGAAGAAGUUUUGAAUUUGGAGAAGUCGGGCUGGAGUGGGGAGUGGAGGACAUACUCCUGGCAUCAAAAUGUCUCCUUGUAUCUCUGAUGGGUCAUAUGAAAAUGUUCUGUAUUUGGGUAACACUUGGUUGGUUGCACAACACACUGUACUUAUCAAUGGUGAUAUUCACAGAUGUAAUUGCACACAGUGAUUAUGGAUUUAGGGGGCCUGUUCACUCUGCUCCCACCUCCCUUCAUAUCUGUGAAUGCCAUAAAAAUUCACAGAAAGGCUUUUCUGAAAGCACUAGCCUGGAAAAGGAAUAAUGCAGCUCCUCUGUGGACAGCACAAGAAGCCAUGAGCUAUCUUCAAAAACACUGUCAAAAUCAAAACUUUCCCAUCACUUCCAGUCCACAAGCUGGUCUCUUUUUUCUCCCCAUGUGUAUGAACACAUAACCAUGGUUGUGAGCUCUCUUUCCAAACAACUCCUCCCUCUACUCACCCCCUUUUCUUCUGCCCUGUCCACAUGCACAUGUUCUGGCUCUUUUCUGCUCACGGACAGACUGACUGCUCUUGCACACCCACAGGUGGAAAACAAAGUGGAAACCCAGGGCCAGCAAGGCUUCUCCAUGCCCAGCCAGCUGCUGUCUCCCACAGGAGACUCAGGGAAGAAGCUCCUGCCAACCCACAGCUCCUCCUAGCUAUCAGGGUACCAUUGACUCCUUGGCUGUGGACUCACCCACUGCAGUCCUGUCACUCCCCAGCAGCUCUGCAGGGCUGGAGCAGGUCACCACGUGCCUUCAGAGGGCUGUGAAUGUGACUGUGUGCUCCUGGUGACUCACUAGGAGGUCACCAAAUGAACCAGAUCCUGAGCACUGAGAAACUCUGCCAGCCUUGUGUGAAUGGGAGAAAAAGGAGGAAGGAAGUUCUGUUGUUGCAUUUUUUCAUGGUGAGCGGUGCUGAGUCAAAAAAAGGGCUCCAGGAUUAGAGGGGGGAACAGCUAAAAUCAUUAGAGAAAUAGAAUUUAAAAAGGAUAAGCCAGCUGGAUGGGAGUGGGAGCCCAAAAGAUACCGUAUUCUUCUCACUGUAGAUGAUGGUUGUGAGAAAAAUCAGAGAAGGGAGUGACAAGUGGGUGGUGAUAGUCUUCACUGCUAGAGUAUGACCUGCAUUUUUUCUCAUCCUGGCCUCUCACUAAUCCAACCAACUAUUCCCUGAGGGAAGACAGAGGAAGAAGGCAACAUUGGGCAGGUCCAGUUGAGUCUGCUCUCCCUAAGGAAUGCCUCUGGAGCAACGAGGUUCUCAAUCAUUUGUACUGACAUGGAGCUGGUGGACACCACAAAGGGCCAAGGUGCUGACCAGGGUGUUCCCCACAUUAAGCAGAGCUAAAGCUCAGACAGACUGCAAGCUUGGGUGAACUCUUAGCCCUUUGCCAAGGUAAAGUUGCCAGGUUUUACACACUAGAACUAAGGAAAAAUAACUCUAGUAAAGCAUGUUUGCACUUCUAAUAGUGUAGGCUAACUACUUUACUGGAGAAGUGAGCAGCUGUUCCAAAAGUACCAGAAAAUUCCUGGCUACAUGGUUUUUUACAUAGGAUGCAGGACAUGCUCCUUUAUUUAGGAUGUUCACCAGUUCCAGUAAUACACCAAAUAUAUGCCCAGAAAUUAGUUUCUGAGAUAUUUACAUUUUAGGCAAGAAUCCUUUCAAAAUAUUUCCUCAGGCAACCAGCAGUGUAGGGCUGAAGAGUUUAUCUUGGUAAAUUCUGACUGAUUUAAAAGGAAAAAGAUUGUGGGGAUCAGCUCAUUAGCAGUUGUAAACUGGCACUGGUCCAGCAACCUAAGUAAACUUCUAAGUUCAUAAACUGGCUGGAGAGAGUCUGGUCCUAUUCUGCAACUAUUUAAUCCCUUAGUAUGGCAAUGGUUUUACCCCACUGUACUGGCAAGAACUAGCAUGGUUUGAAUGAAGAAAUACUUCAUGUUUUUCAGCUCUCUCUUUUUGUCAAGCUGCUGAAGUCCAAACACUGCUUGUGAUCCUCUGUAUGGUCAGUGCAUGACACCUACUAGAAUGGAUUUCUCAAGCUGAUAGAUGAGACUGAUGUAGGAAUGUUAAUUUUUGUGUCUACACCAAUUAAAUAAAUGUCCUGCUUCUGGGCAAUGGCUUGGCCUAUGUACAUUUUCUAUGGCUAUUAUUUUCUGCACAUUUUCCAAAUCUAUUAAUAUGGUGGAAACUAUGUAAGAUCUUUAAUGCCAAAUGUUUUGCUUAGGCUGUGUUUCCUCCAGUUGACCAGGAAAGAAAAAGUGGGAUAAAGAGCUGCUAGUAAAACAAUUUCCAGGAUUGCCUGUUUUCCUUGCUUGUAAAAAGGUUCACUUCAAUUUAAUGUUAGUUACUAAUGAAUGCACAGCAUAGAAGACUAGUGCCUUGAUUUAUACUCCCUUGAGAUAUACUUUUGGCAAUUGUCCAAAAUGCUUUUUUUCCUUAGGGUUUCAUUGAUUAGCAAGGAUGCAAAUUAGUAAAAGAAGUAAAUUGAUAUUGAGAAGUCAGAAAUGCUACAUUUGGUGUCUUCAGUUUGUACAUGCAAAUUUGUAUUCCUGAGAUUCAUCAUCCUUUUGAAAGCCAGCCUUGCUAAGUCUGUAUUUAUUAAUGUUAAUUAUAGAGGCAAAGCUCAUGCCUUUAAAGCCUGAUGUGAUUUUGGUGUUUUAAAAACCAUUUAAUUAUUUUUGAAGAAUGUAAAACAACCCUCCAAAAUCUGCAGCACUUGUUAUGUACAGAAUAAAUCCUCUGAAAAUUGG